RNAcentral lists this long non-coding RNA (332 nucleotides) under Phoenix dactylifera (date palm). RNAcentral describes it as "long non-coding RNA (PDAC_LNC006505)". Lineage: Eukaryota; Viridiplantae; Streptophyta; Magnoliopsida; Arecales; Arecaceae. The record is from RNAcentral.
AAAAGUCCAAUACCAAAAUCACAUUUCGUUGAACCAAAGUAAGCUCAUUUUGAACAGCAGAAACAUUGUUUAAUCAGAAUGAUGAAUCAGAAACAUCAUCCUAAUACCCCAAAAGUUGAAAGCAUUUAACUUCUAUACCUUUCCCUACAAUAAGGACAAUUCCCAUGUUCAGUCAAAGAACUCUUAGGGUUGCAGUGAAUUAAAUGACUACCCAAAAUGAACAAAUGGAAGAAGGAAUGAAAAAAAUGGGAACAAAUAUAUUUGCCACAAAUUCAUGUAUGCAUAUGUCUGUAACAAUCUACUAAUACUACAAUUGUGCACAUACUUCCAAU